GAUGAACGCUAGCGGCAGGCCUAAUACAUGCAAGUCGGACGGUAAAUGGCCCUUCGGGGCUAUGAGAGUGGCGCACGGGUGCGUAACGCGUAUGCAACCUACCCAAUGCUGGCGGAUAGCCCGGAGAAAUUCGGAUUAAGCCGUCAUGAGGAGCGGAGAGGGCAUCCUUUCUGUUUCAAAUAUUCAUAGGCGUUGGAUGGGGAUGCGUGACAUUAGAUAGUAGGCGGGGUAACGGCCACCUAGUCUACGAUGUCUAGGGGUUCUGAGAGGAAGGUCCCCCACACUGGAACUGAGACACGGUCCAGACUCCUACGGGAGGCAGCAGUGAGGAAUAUUGGUCAAUGGUCGGAAGACUGAACCAGCCAAGUAGCGUGAAGGAUGAAGGUUCUAUGGAUUGUAAACUUCUUUUAUACGGGAAUAAAACACCUUACGUGUAGGGUCUUGUAUGUACCGUAUGAAUAAGCAUCGGCUAACUCCGUG
This 480-nucleotide ribosomal RNA is filed under the name uncultured bacterium. RNAcentral describes it as "bacterial SSU rRNA". It matches the Rfam family "Bacterial small subunit ribosomal RNA", at positions 28 to 507 of the family's 1533-position model. The record is from RNAcentral.